GGUGGUUCUAGAGUGACGUACCCUGGAACCAGAGAGGAGGGAGUCUAAUUCCAGGGUGCGUCACCCAAGAACCUCC
Myotis davidii is the source of this 76-nucleotide non-coding RNA. The record is from Rfam. NCBI's taxonomy places the organism in Eukaryota, Metazoa, Chordata, Mammalia, Chiroptera, Vespertilionidae.